This 356-nucleotide long non-coding RNA is filed under the name Physcomitrium patens. RNAcentral describes it as "long non-coding RNA (PPAT_LNC001120)". Lineage: Eukaryota; Viridiplantae; Streptophyta; Bryopsida; Funariales; Funariaceae. The record is from RNAcentral.
UUUUCAUCAUUUCUUGAACGACGAGAUCCAAUAUUUCAUAGCUUCAAUCCAUGUAUGGAGAACAUGAUGCAAUUCGUGUUGCAACCAAUAAGAUCCGUAUUUUACGGCAAGGCAAUCGAUCAGUAAUGUUGUACGCUUCACAAUUUUGACAACUUGUAAUUGACAUCAAGUGGGAUGAUGCUGCACUUAUUAGCUAAUUUCUCUACGGAUUACAAUAUGAGGUAAAAAAUUAAUGCUCAACUUACCUGAUCUUCAAACAUUGAGUCAAGCAAUUGACUUUGCUGUGAAGUACGACAAUUGUCUUUUUGAAUUUCGAUCUGAGAAUCAUACAAGUGGACCUCAACAAUACUAUAAUU